GACGUAGGGCGCGAGCGUUGUCCGGAUUUAUUGGGCGUAAAGAGCUCGUAGGCGGCUUGUCGCGUCGUCCGUGAAAACCCACAGCUCAACUGUGGGCUUGCGGUCGAUACGGGCAGGCUAGAGUUCGGUAGGGGAGACUGGAAUUCCUGGUGUAGCGGUGAAAUGCGCAGAUAUCAGGAGGAACACCGGUGGCGAAGGCGGGUCUCUGGGCCGAUACUGACGCUGAGGCACGAAGGUCAGGGGAGCAAACGGG
This 253-nucleotide ribosomal RNA is filed under the name uncultured bacterium. Its description in RNAcentral is "partial 16S ribosomal RNA". It matches the Rfam family "Bacterial small subunit ribosomal RNA", at positions 524 to 776 of the family's 1533-position model. The record is from RNAcentral.